Molecule: ribosomal RNA, 492 nt
Filed under: uncultured bacterium
Lineage: Bacteria
Description: partial 16S ribosomal RNA
Rfam family: Bacterial small subunit ribosomal RNA
Source: RNAcentral
AGUGAACGCUGGCGGUAGGCCUAACACAUGCAAGUCGAACGGCAGCACAGUAAGAGUUUGCUCCUACGGGUGGCGAGUGGCGGACGGGUGAGGCAUACAUCGCAAUCUACUUUUUCGUGGGGGAUUACGUAGGGAAACUUACGCUAAUACCUCAUACGACCUACGGGUGAAAUCAGGGGAUCUUCGGACCUUGCGCGAUUGAAUGAGCCGAUGUCGGAUUAGCUAGUUGGCGGGGUAAAGGCCCACCAAGGCGACGAUCCGUAGCUGGUCUGAGAGGAUGAUCAGCCACACUGGAACUGAGACACGGUCCAGACUCCUACGGGAGGCAGCAGUGGGGAAUAUUGGACAAUGGGCGCAAGCCUGAUCCAGCCAUACCGCGUGAGUGAAGAAGGCCUUCGGGUUGUAAAGCCCUUUUGUUGGGAAAGAAAAGCAGCAGGUUAAUCCCCCGAUAUUCUGACGGUACCCAAAGAAUAAGCACCGGCUAACUUCGUG